GAGUUUUUCGACGCGCCGCAGCGUCGAUGCUACGAUCGGGAUUCAAGCAGCAGUGGGCGCUUUUCGAGGAGGAGUCAGCUGAUUCGUUGGUAGGAAUAACGAGGAUUUCUUUUGUUCUUUUUGACGGAAAGAUUGUUUAUAGGAAUCCUUGGGAGCCCAUACUGAUCAGCGCACGUUAGCUUCUAGGGAAGCGCGUGGCACAGAGCUUCGUGGAUACGGCACGAGACCGCUCGGGAGUAGAUUUCGAAGGUUGCGUUUCAUUAUCAGGAAUCGCAAUCUAAUGGAAGACAGCGCACUUUAUGUAUGCAUGAAAUAAGUUCAGUAUGCAACGAAUCAUUGUCUUGCAACAGAGUGAGCACUGGAGGCGCCUCCCAAAGAGACCCUGGGUGCUCUGAAAGCGCUUCGACAAUACGUCAGCGUUGGAAAAGACCUGAUUUCGGAAACAGAUAAGAGAAGCAGAACCUUCGCAUAUGUUUCGCAGGCCGAUGAUGUAUCAGCGUUGGCAAAAAGACCUGAUUUCGGAAACAGAUAAGAGAAGCAGAACCUUCGCAUAUGUUUCGCAGGCCGAUGAUGUAUCAGCGUUGGCAAAAAGACCUGAUUUCGGAAACAGAUAAGAGAAGCAGAACCUUCGCAUAUGUUUCGCAGGCCGAUGAUGUAUCAGCGUUGGCAAAAAGACCUGAUUUCGGAAACAGAUAAGAGAAGCAGAACCUUCGCAUAUGUUUCGCAGGCCGAUGAUGUAUCAGCGUUGGCAAAAAGACCUGAUUUCGGAAACAGAUAAGAGAAGCAGAACCUUCGCAUAUGUUUCGCAGGCCGAUGAUGUAUCAGCGUUGGCAAAAAGACCUGAUUUCGGAAACAGAUAAGAGAAGCAGAACCUUCGCAUAUGUUUCGCAGGCCGAUGAUGUAUCAGCGUUGGCAAAAAGACCUGAUUUCGGAAACAGAUAAGAGAAGCAGAACCUUCGCAUAUGUUUCGCAGGCGUAUUGCGGUGAGCCGUUCUAGUGAGUCCACGAGCGAUCAUGUCUUCCAACCCGAGAAUCAUCUCUAGAGUCCGGAUGGCUUUCUGGUGUGUGUCCUGGGUUCUCCAGUGGCACCGGAGAGCUCCCGUUCCGUCGAGGUGUCAUCGUCUGGCGGUGAUCACCAGCGCCCCUUGAACGUUUUCUCGCCAUUAACCGACGCUCACCAGCAUGUGGCUGCAUUAUUCGAGCUCCAUGUCAUACGUGAACCAUGAGGUUACCUGAAAGAGCGUCUUGAAAUCAGCCAGAGCUUCGUUAUCAAGAAAGAGGGAUACAUCGACAUGACCUGAUGGAAUGUGACAAGGUCCCGUGGGUAAACUAGG
This is an RNA transcript of Cyanidioschyzon merolae strain 10D, 1334 nucleotides long. RefSeq lists it as hypothetical. Lineage: Eukaryota; Rhodophyta; Bangiophyceae; Cyanidiales; Cyanidiaceae. The record is from RefSeq and is a predicted model, not a curated record. The transcript has a single exon.